Molecule: transfer RNA, 76 nt
Filed under: Halothermothrix orenii H 168
Lineage: Bacteria; Bacillati; Bacillota; Clostridia; Halanaerobiales; Halothermotrichaceae
Description: tRNA-Ala (GGC) (tRNA-Ala-GGC-1-1)
Rfam family: tRNA
About the family: Transfer RNA (tRNA) molecules are approximately 80 nucleotides in length. Their secondary structure includes four short double-helical elements and three loops (D, anti-codon, and T loops).
Source: RNAcentral
GGGGAUGUAGCUCAGUUGGGAGAGCGCUACACUGGCAGUGUAGAGGCCAGGGGUUCGAAUCCCCUCAUCUCCACCA